This is a long non-coding RNA of Dermacentor silvarum, 627 nucleotides long. RefSeq lists it as uncharacterized. The record is from RefSeq and is a predicted model, not a curated record. The transcript has 3 exons. NCBI's taxonomy places the organism in Eukaryota, Metazoa, Arthropoda, Arachnida, Ixodida, Ixodidae.
UGCUCGACGUUCUCGAACCGACGUUGCUUCACGUUGCCGAAGCUCAGGAUCCGCUGCUCGACGUUCACGAACCAACGCGGCUUCACGUUCUCGAAGGUCGGGUUCCGCCGCUCGCUUCGUACGUUUACGUUGAACUUCACGGUCCCGAACCUCAGGUUCUGCUGCUCGACGUUCACGAACCAACGCGGCUUCCCGUUCUCGAAGGUCGGGUUCCGCCGCUCGCUUCGUACGUUUACGUUGAACUUCACGGUCCCGAACCUCAGGUUCUGCUGCUCGACGUUCUCGAACCGACGUUGCUUCACGUUGCCGAAGCUCAGGAUCCGCUGCUCGACGUUCACGAACCAACGCGGCUUCACGUUCUCGAAGGUCGGGUUCCGCCGCUCGCUUCGUACGUUUACGUUGAACUUCACGGUCCCGAACCUCAGGUUCUGCUGCUCGACGUUCACGAACCAACGCGGCUUCCCGUUCUCGAAGGUCGGGUUCCGCCGCUCGCUUCGUACGUUUACGUUGAGCUUCACGGUCCCGAACCUCAGGUUCUGCUGCUCGACGUUCACGAACCAACGCGGCUUCCCGUUCUCGAAGCUCAGGAUCCGCUGCUCGACGUUGAUGUUUCGAAGCGGCUUCGCG